This 492-nucleotide ribosomal RNA is filed under the name uncultured bacterium. RNAcentral describes it as "partial 16S ribosomal RNA". It matches the Rfam family "Bacterial small subunit ribosomal RNA", at positions 29 to 507 of the family's 1533-position model. The record is from RNAcentral.
AGUGAACGCUGGCGGUAGGCCUAACACAUGCAAGUCGAACGGCAGCACAGUAAGAGCUUGCUCUUACGGGUGGCGAGUGGCGGACGAGUGAGGAAUACAUCGGAAUCUACUUUUUCGUGGGGGAUAACGUAGGGAAACUUACGCUAAUACCGCAUACGACCUACGGGUGAAAGCAGGGGAUCUUCGGACCUUGCGCGAUUGAAUGAGCCGAUGUCGGAUUAGCUAGUUGGCGGGGUAAAGGCCCACCAAGGCGACGAUCCGUAGCUGGUCUGAGAGGAUGAUCAGCCACACUGGAACUGAGGCACGGUCCAGACUCCUACGGGAGGCAGCAGUGGGGAAUAUUGGACAAUGGGCGAAAGCCUGAUCCAGCCAUACCGCGUGGGUGAAGAAGGCCUUCGGGUUGUAAAGCCCUUUUGUUGGGAAAGAAAAGCAGCAGGUUAAUACCCCGCUGUUCUGACGGUACCCAAAGAAUAAGCACCGGCUAACUUCGUG